CCUACGGGUGGCAGCAGUGAGGAAUAUUGGUCAAUGGGCGAGAGCCUGAACCAGCCAAGCAGCGUGAAGGAUGACUGCCCUACGGGUUGUAAACUUCUUUUAUAGGGGAAUAAAGUGCGGCACGUGUGCCUUUUUGCGUGUACUUUAUGAAUAAGGAUCGGCUAACUCCGUGCCAGCAGCCGCGGUAAUACGGAGGAUCCGAGCGUUAUCCGGAUUUAUUGGGUUUAAAGGGUGCGUAGAUGGGUUGUUAAGUCAGUUGUGAAAGUUGGCGGCUCAACCGUAAAAUUGCAAUUGAGACUGGCAGUCUUGAGUACAGUUGAGGUAGGCGGAAUGCGUGGUGUAGCGGUGAAAUGCUUAGAUAUCACGAAGAACUCCGAUUGCGAAGGCAGCUUACUAAACUGCCACUGACAUUGAGGCUCGAAAGUGUGGGUAUCAAACAGGAUUAGAUACCCGGGUAGUC
This 460-nucleotide ribosomal RNA is filed under the name uncultured bacterium. RNAcentral's name for it is "partial 16S ribosomal RNA". It matches the Rfam family "Bacterial small subunit ribosomal RNA", at positions 338 to 795 of the family's 1533-position model. The record is from RNAcentral.